AGUGAACGCUGGCGGUAGGCCUAACACAUGCAAGUCGAACGGCAGCACAGUAAGAGCUUGCUCUUACGAGUGGCGAGUGGCGGACGGGUGUGGAAUACAUCGGAAUCUACUUUUUCGUGGGGGAUAACGUAGGGAAACUUACGCUAAUACCCCAUACGACCUACGGGUGAAAGCAGGGGAUCUUCGGACCUUGCGCGACUGAAUGAGCCGAUGUCGGAUUAGCUAGUUGGCGGGGUAAAGGCCCACCAAGGCGACGAUCCGUAGUUGGUCUGAGAGGAUGAUCAGCCACACUGGAACUGAGACACGGUCCAGACUCCUACGGGAGGCAGCAGUGGGGAAUAUUGGACAAAGGGCGCAAGCCUGAUCCAGCCAUACCGCGUGGGUGAAGAAGGCCUUCGGGUUGUAAAGCCCUUUUGUUGGGAAAGAAAAGCAGCAGGUUAAUACCCCGCUGUUCUGACGGUACCCAAAGAAUAAGCACCGGCUAACUUCGUG
RNAcentral lists this ribosomal RNA (492 nucleotides) under uncultured bacterium. RNAcentral's name for it is "partial 16S ribosomal RNA". It matches the Rfam family "Bacterial small subunit ribosomal RNA", at positions 29 to 507 of the family's 1533-position model. The record is from RNAcentral.